GCCCUUUUAUAGUUAAUGGGCAUGAUGAUUGGGUGUUCACACAUGUGUGAAAUGUGCCACCCUCAAAUCUUGUUACAAUAUUUCACAUUACCUGUCUGACA
Small nucleolar RNA from Cebus imitator (Panamanian white-faced capuchin), 101 nucleotides. RefSeq annotates it as small nucleolar RNA U13. The record is from RefSeq and is a predicted model, not a curated record. The transcript has a single exon. Lineage: Eukaryota; Metazoa; Chordata; Mammalia; Primates; Cebidae.